This 107-nucleotide ribosomal RNA is filed under the name Youxingia wuxianensis. Lineage: Bacteria; Bacillati; Bacillota; Clostridia; Eubacteriales; Oscillospiraceae. The record is from RNAcentral.
GCUGGUGUUUAUUACGAUGAGGUCCCACCUGUUCCCAUCCCGAACACAGUAGUUAAGCUCAUCCGUGCCGAAAAUACUUGGGGGGAAACCCCCUGGGAAAAUAGGUC